AGUGAACGCUGGCGGUAGGCCUAACACAUGCAAGUCGAACGGCAGCACAGUAAGAGCUUGCUCUUACGGGUGGCGAGUGGCGGACGGGUGAGGAAUACAUCGGAAUCUACUUUUUCGUGGGGGAUAACGUAGGGAAACUUACGCUAAUACCGCAUACGACCUACGGGUGAAAGCAGGGGAUCUUCGGACCUUGCGCGAUUGAAUGAGCCGAUGUCGGAUUAGCUAGUUGGCGGGGUAAAGGCCCACCAAGGCGACGAUCCGUAGCUGGUCUGAGAGGAUGAUCAGCCACACUGGAACUGAGACACGGCCCAGACUCCUACGGGAGGCAGCAGUGGGGAAUAUUGGACAAUGGGCGCAAGCCUGAUCCAGCCAUACCGCGUGGGUGAAGAAGGCCUUCGGGUUGUAAAGCCCUUUUGUUGGGAAAGAAAAGCAGCAGGUUAAGACCCCGCUGUUCUGACGGUACCCAAAGAAUAAGCACCGGCUAACUUCGU
This 491-nucleotide ribosomal RNA is filed under the name uncultured bacterium. Its description in RNAcentral is "partial 16S ribosomal RNA". It matches the Rfam family "Bacterial small subunit ribosomal RNA", at positions 29 to 506 of the family's 1533-position model. The record is from RNAcentral.